Molecule: ribosomal RNA, 440 nt
Filed under: uncultured bacterium
Lineage: Bacteria
Description: partial 16S ribosomal RNA
Rfam family: Bacterial small subunit ribosomal RNA
Source: RNAcentral
CCUACGGGUGGCAGCAGUGGGGAAUAUUGCACAAUGGGGGAAACCCUGAUGCAGCGACGCCGCGUGAAUGAAGAAGGAUUUCGGUAUGUAAAGCUCUAUUAGCAGGGAAGAGAAUGACGGUACCUGAUUUAGAAGCGCCGGCUAACUCCGCGCCAGCAGACGCGGUAAUACGUAGGGGGCAAGCGUUAUCCGGAUUUACUGGGUGUAAAGGGAGCGUAGACGGCAACACAAGUCUGGUGGGAAAUGCCGGGGCUUAACCCCGGAACUGCUUUGGAAACUGUGCAGCUAGAGUGCAGGAGAGGUAAUUGGAAUUCCUAGUGUAGCGGUGAAAUGCGUAGAUAUUAGGAGGAACACCAGUGGCGAAGGCGGCUUACUGGACUAUAACUGACGUUGAGGCUCGAAAGCGUGGGGAGCAAACAGGAUUAGAUACCCUAGUAGUC